AGCCAGCAGCCGCGGUAAUACGAAGGGGGCUAGCGUUGUUCGGAAUUACUGGGCGUAAAGCGUGCGCAGGCGGCCUUUCAAGUCAGGGGUGAAAGCCCAGAGCUCAACUCUGGAAUUGCCUUUGAAACUGUUUGGCUUGAGUGCGGGAGAGGUGAGUGGAAUUCCCAGUGUAGAGGUGAAAUUCGUAGAUAUUGGGAAGAACACCGGUGGCGAAGGCGGCUCACUGGCCCGUUUCUGACGCUCAUGCACGAUAGCGUGGGGAUCAAACAGGAUUAGAUACCCUGGUAGUCCACGCUGUAAACUAUGGACGCUAGCCGUUGGGUAGCUUGCUAUUCAGUGGCGCAGCUAACGCAUUAAGCGUCCCGCCUGGGGAGUACGGCCGCAAGGUUGAAACUCAAAGGAAUUGACGGGGGCCCGCACA
Molecule: ribosomal RNA, 421 nt
Filed under: uncultured bacterium
Lineage: Bacteria
Description: bacterial SSU rRNA
Rfam family: Bacterial small subunit ribosomal RNA
Source: RNAcentral